AUUGAACGCUGGCGGCAUGCUUUACACAUGCAAGUCGAACGGUAACAGGCCUUCGGGUGCUGACGAGUGGCGAACGGGUGAGUAAUGCAUCGGAACAUACCCAGUCGUGGGGGAUAACGUAGCGAAAGUUACGCUAAUACCGCAUACGUCCUGAGGGAGAAAGCGGGGGAUCGCAAGACCUCGCGCGAUUGGAGUGGCCGAUGUCAGAUUAGCUAGUUGGUGGGGUAAAGGCCCACCAAGGCGACGAUCUGUAGCGGGUCUGAGAGGAUGAUCCGCCACACUGGGGACUGAGACACGGCCCACGACUCCUACGGGAGGCAGCAGUGGGGAUUUUGGACAAUGGGGGAAACCCUGAUCCAGCCAUGCCGCGUACGGGAAGAAGGCCUU
Molecule: ribosomal RNA, 387 nt
Filed under: uncultured bacterium
Lineage: Bacteria
Description: bacterial SSU rRNA
Rfam family: Bacterial small subunit ribosomal RNA
Source: RNAcentral